This 491-nucleotide ribosomal RNA is filed under the name uncultured bacterium. Its description in RNAcentral is "partial 16S ribosomal RNA". It matches the Rfam family "Bacterial small subunit ribosomal RNA", at positions 29 to 507 of the family's 1533-position model. The record is from RNAcentral.
GUGAACGCUGGCGGUAGGCCUAACCCCUGCCAGUCGCACGGCAGCACAGUAAGAGCUUGCUCUUACGGGUGGCGAGUGGCGGACGGGUGAGGAAUACAUCGGAAUCUACUUUUUCGUGGGGGAUAACGUAGGGAAACUUACGCUAAUACCGCAUACGACCUACGGGUGAAAGCAGGGGAUCUUCGGACCUUGCGCGAUUGAAUGAGUCGAUGUCGGAUUAGCUAGUUGGCGGGGUAAAGGCCCACCAAGGCGACGAUCCGUAGCUGGUCUGAGAGGAUGAUCAGCCACACUGGAACUGAGACACGGUCCAGACUCCUACGGGAGGCAGCAGUGGGGAAUAUUGGACAAUGGGCGCAAGCCUGAUCCAGCCAUACCGCGUGGGUGAAGAAGGCCUUCGGGUUGUAAAGCCCUUUUGUUGGGAAAGAAAAGCAGCAGGUUAAUACCCCGCUGUUCUGACGGUACCCAAAGAAUAAGCACCGGCUAACUUCGUG